This is a small nuclear RNA of Octodon degus (degu), 107 nucleotides long. The record is from Ensembl. NCBI's taxonomy places the organism in Eukaryota, Metazoa, Chordata, Mammalia, Rodentia, Octodontidae.
GUGCUCCCUUCAGUGGCACAUAUACUCAAACUGGAAUGAAACAGAGAACAUUAGCAUGGCCCCUGCACAAGGAUGACAUGCAAAUUCGUGAAGUGUUCCAUAUGUUU